RNAcentral lists this long non-coding RNA (445 nucleotides) under Amborella trichopoda. RNAcentral describes it as "long non-coding RNA (ATRI_LNC005403)". The record is from RNAcentral. Lineage: Eukaryota; Viridiplantae; Streptophyta; Magnoliopsida; Amborellales; Amborellaceae.
AGCUUAUGGGUGAAAGGCUAGGUGGUCAGGACGGCAGAGUGCGACAAUGUGACUUCUAGUUCCAUUCUUACCACAUGUAUGAGACUCCUUCCUCACAAAACUACCCUAAGAACCAAAAAAAAAAGUUCUCGCAUAAAAGCUAUGUUCUGCAUUACGUUUUUCAGGGAUGAAUUGAAUUUGCUUCAUAUUGGAUUUCUUAGUUUUGGUUCUUUGCUUUCUGUUAUUCAGGGAUGAAUUGAAUUUGCAUCGUAUUGGAUUUUUUCGUUUUUGUUCUUUGCUUUCUACCCAUGUAAUUGCUGGAAGGUAAAUCUUCAUAUCUUAAGAGUUCAAUGUUUAUAGCACUGUAGGAAAAAUCGAUCCGAAACAGUUAAUUGGACAUGGGAUUGAAGCGGUUACUUGAUAUUAACCGGUAAAUCUGCCGGUUCAAUCGGCCAAACUGGGCAAG